ACCUACGGGGCGCAGCAGUAGGGAAUCUUCCACAAUGGGCGAAAGCCUGAUGGAGCAACGCCGCGUGGGUGAAGAAGGUCUUCGGAUCGUAAAACCCUGUUGUUAGAGAAGAAAGUGCGAGAGAGUAACUGUUCACGUUUCGACGGUAUCUAACCAGAAAGCCACGGCUAACUACGUGCCAGCAGCCGCGGUAAUACGUAGGUGGCAAGCGUUAUCCGGAUUUAUUGGGCGUAAAGGGAACGCAGGCGGUCUUUUAAGUCUGAGGUGUAAGCCCUCGGAUUAACAGGAGGAGUGCAUUGGAAACU
RNAcentral lists this ribosomal RNA (305 nucleotides) under uncultured bacterium. Its description in RNAcentral is "bacterial SSU rRNA". It matches the Rfam family "Bacterial small subunit ribosomal RNA", at positions 337 to 634 of the family's 1533-position model. The record is from RNAcentral.